AACGGCGAGUGAAGCGGCAACAGCUCAAAUUUGAAAUCUGGCCCUCGGGUCCGAGUUGUAAUUUGUAGAGGAUGCUUUUGGUGCGGUGCCUUCCGAGUUCCCUGGAACGGGACGCCAUAGAGGGUGAGAGCCCCGUCUGGUUGGACACCAAUCCUCUGUAAAGCUCCUUCGACGAGUCGAGUAGUUUGGGAAUGCUGCUCUAAAUGGGAGGUAUAUGUCUUCUAAAGCUAAAUAUUGGCCAGAGACCGAUAGCGCACAAGUAGAGUGAUCGAAAGAUGAAAAGCACUUUGAAAAGAGAGUUAAACAGUACGUGAAAUUGUUGAAAGGGAAGCGCUUAUGACCAGACUUGGGCUUGGUAGAUCAACCUGGGUUCUCCCUGGUGCACUCUUCCUCGUCCAGGCCAGCAUCAGUUCGCUGCGGGGGAUAAAGGCUUCGGGAAUGUGGCUCCCUCGGGAGUGUUAUAGCCCGUUGCGUAAUACCCUGCGGUGGACUGAGGUUCGCGUUCUGCAAGGAUGCUGGCGUAAUGGUCAUCAGCGACCCGUCUUGAAACACGGACCAAGGAGUCGUCUUCGUAUGCGAGUGUUCGGGUGUUAAACCCCUACGCGUAAUGAAAGUGAACGCAGGUGAGAGCUUCGGCGCAUCAUCGACCGAUCCUGAUGUUCUCGGAUGGAUUUGAGUAAGAGCAUACGGGGCCGGACCCGAAAGAAGGUGAACUAUGCCUGUAUAGGGUGAAGCCAGAGGAAACUCUGGUGGAGGCUCGCAGCGGUUCUGACGUGCAAAUC
This 782-nucleotide ribosomal RNA is filed under the name Mariannaea elegans. Its description in RNAcentral is "eukaryotic LSU rRNA". It matches the Rfam family "Eukaryotic large subunit ribosomal RNA", at positions 85 to 899 of the family's 3401-position model. Lineage: Eukaryota; Fungi; Ascomycota; Sordariomycetes; Hypocreales; Nectriaceae. The record is from RNAcentral.